AACGUAGGAGACAAACGUUAUCCGGAGUUACUGGGCGUAAAGGGCGUGUAGGUGGUUUCGUAAGUCUGGCGUGAAAUUUUUCGGCUUAACCGGGAAAGGUCGUCGGAUACUGCAGAACUAGAGGACGGUAGAGGCGUGUGGAAUUCCGGGUGUAGUGGUGAAAUGCGUAGAGAUCCGGAGGAACACCAGUGGCGAAGGCGGCCUGCUGGGCAGAUACUGACACUGAGGCGCGACAGCGUGGGGAGCAAACAGG
RNAcentral lists this ribosomal RNA (253 nucleotides) under uncultured bacterium. RNAcentral's name for it is "partial 16S ribosomal RNA". It matches the Rfam family "Bacterial small subunit ribosomal RNA", at positions 524 to 776 of the family's 1533-position model. The record is from RNAcentral.